Molecule: RNA transcript, 5956 nt
Organism: Neofelis nebulosa (Clouded leopard)
Lineage: Eukaryota; Metazoa; Chordata; Mammalia; Carnivora; Felidae
Gene: ANKS6
Gene name: ankyrin repeat and sterile alpha motif domain containing 6
Exons: 20
Source: RefSeq, a predicted model, not a curated record
UCCCGUGGUUCCGAGCUCGCACCAGGAGUGGUCUGCAGCAGCCGCUCCGACCUCCGCACGGGGCAGGAAGUCCCCCGAGCCUCCGGAGAGGGCCGCCACUGGGCGCCGCACGGGCAGGGGCGGCCCCGGGAGUCGGGGCGCGGACGCCACUCGGAGGUCCGGGAACUCGCUGUCCUUCCCGGCGCGGCGAGGACGCGCGGCCGGGACCCCGGCGCGCGCCCGGCACACAGUAGGCGCGCGGCCCCGCCCCCCGGCGCGCGCCCGGCACACAGUAGGCGCGCGGGCGGCGGGCGGAAGGGGGCGCUGGCGCGCGGUAUCCGGGGGCGGAGCCGGCGCGGCCGGCCAGGCGGACGGGCGCGGGCCUCGGGGCCGCGAUGGGCGAGGGCGGGCUGCCCCCGGCCUUCCAGCUGCUGCUGCGCGCCUGCGACCAGGGCGACACGGAGACGGCGCGGCGGCUGCUGGAGCCGGGGGCGGCGGAGCCGGCGGAGCGCGGCGCGGAGCCCGAAGCGGGCGCAGAGCCGGCGGGGGCCGAGGCGGCCGGGCCCGGGGCGGCGGCGGCGGCGGCGGCCGGAGCGCCGGUGCCUGUGGACUGCUCAGACGAGGCGGGCAACACGGCGCUGCAGUUCGCCGCGGCCGGGGGCCACGAGCCGCUGGUGCGCUUCUUGUUGCGCCGCGGCGCCUCGGUCAACAGCCGCAACCACUACGGCUGGAGCGCGCUCAUGCAGGCAGCCAGAUUUGGGCACGUGAGCGUGGCACACCUCCUUUUGGAUCAUGGAGCUGAUAUCAAUGCCCAGAACCGUCUAGGGGCCAGCGUGCUCACUGUGGCCUCUCGGGGUGGCCACCUGGGUGUGGUGAAGCUGCUUCUGGAAGCUGGUGCCUUUGUGGACCAUCACAGCUCCUCAGGCGAGCAGUCAGGGGACAGCACGGAUGAGCUGUUGGACAUCACAGCCCUGAUGGCUGCCAUCCAGCAUGGGCAUGAGGCUGUGGUGCGUCUGCUGAUGGAGUGGGGCGCGGACCCCAACCACGUGGCCCGAACCGUGGGCUGGAGCCCACUGAUGCUGUCAGCACUCACUGGGAGGCUCGGCAUGGCUCAGCAGCUGGUGGAGAAGGGGGCCAACCCUGACUACCUCAGCGUGUUAGAGAAGACCGCCUUCGAGGUUGCACUUGACUGCAAGCACAGGGACCUUGCAGACUACUUGGACCCACUGACCACUGUCAGGCCCAAGACAGAUGAGGAGAAAAGGCGGCCUGAUAUUUUCCACGCGUUGAAAAUGGGAAACUUCCAGCUGGUCAAAGAGAUCGCAGACGAAGACCCUAACUAUGUGAACCUGGUCAAUGGGGAUGGGGCAACCCCGCUGAUGCUGGCGGCCGUCACGGGGCAGCUGCCUCUGGUGCAGCUUCUGGUGGAGAGGCGCGCUGACAUCGACAAGCAAGACAGCGUGCAUGGCUGGACAGCCCUCAUGCAGGCCACCUACCAUGGGAAUAAGGAAGUUGUCAAAUACCUGCUAAACCAAGGAGCUGAUGUCACUCUUCGUGCAAAAAACGGGUACACGGCCUUUGACCUAGUGAUGCUGCUGAGUGAUCCUGACACGGAACUUGUUCGACUGCUGGCAUCUGUCUGCAUGCAGGUGAAUAAAGACAAAGGCCGGCCCAGCCACCCACCACCUCUGCCCCACUCGAAGGUCCGACAGCCUUGGAGUGUCCCAGUGCUGCCCGAUGACAAAGGCGGGCUCAAGUCCUGGUGGAACCGAAUGUCCAAUCGGUUCCGGAAGCUCAAACUGAUGCAGACCCUGCCCCGCAGGCUCUCCAGCAACCAGCCAUUGCCUUUCUGUGAUGAACCAGACUCAGCGCUGGACUCCACAAUGAGGGCGGCCCCCCAGGACAAGACAAGCCGCUUGGGGCUUCAUGAUGUAGCCCCCACAGUGAAAGAUAAUGGUCCCGGGAGCAUGAGAGGAGACAAAGAAGAUGUGUUAUUGACAACCAUGCUUCGAAAUGGAGCCCCCUUCCCCAGACUCCCGAGUGACAAGCUGAAGGCAGUCAUCCCCCCUUUCUUACCCCCUUCCAGUUUUGAGCUGUGGAGCUCGGACCGGUCCCGGACAUGUCACGGUGGGAAGGCAGAACCCAUGAAGACUGUGCUGCCCCAGAGAGCUGGCCGGGGUGCCCCCGUGGGCAUGGGCGGUGGGAGCACAGAUGCUGCUCCUGUCAGGCCGGUUAAAUUUCCAUCUCUCUCCAGAAGCCCCGCCUCUCCUGCCAAUUCCGGAAACUUCAACCACUCACCUCAUUCCUCAGGCGGCUCCAGUGGGGUCGGGGGCUCCAGCAGACAUGGUGGGGAGCUGCAUAACCGCUCAGGUGGCAGCAUAGACAGUGUCCUGUCACAAAUUGCUGCCCAGAGGAAAAAGGCAGCCGGAUUAUCUGAGCAGAAGGCCAGCCACCGGUCAAGUCCUGUUGGGCCAGCGCCAGGGUCCGGCUCAUCUGAGCUCCCAGUCUCUCCUGCAGGCAGCGGCGGUCCCGGUGGCAAGCAGAAACUGGAGACGAGCAAACGGCCUUUGUCUGGAACUUCCACUACCUCCAAAAGUACCUCCCCCACACUCACGCCCUCCCCUUCGCCCAAAGGGCACGCGGCUGAGUCCUCUGUGUCCUCCUCGCCCCAUCGGCAGUCCAAGAGCAGUGGGGGCUCCAGCAGCGGCACCAUCACAGAUGAAGAUGAACUGACUGGAAUCCUUAAGAAAUUAUCACUUGAGAAGUAUCAGCCCAUUUUUGAGGAGCAAGAGGUGGAUAUGGAAGCAUUCCUCACGCUUACCGACGGCGACUUGAAGGAGCUGGGUAUUAAGACAGAUGGGUCCAGGCAGCAGAUUUUGGCAGCAAUUUCUGAACUGAAUGCAGGCAAGAAGAAAGAAGAGGGGAGCUCAUCACCUGGCUGGUUUUCCAUCCCUCUCCUAUCAGUCUGCUCAUCUUCACCUUGUCAUCAGUGUGAAAGGUCUGUGACCACCCUGGGGUCUUCGACACUCCCAUGCGCACAGAAACACUCCCUUUGAGUCGCAGAUGGGUGUUUUCAGAAGCCCUUCUGCGUUGGCAUGGACACCCACUGGAUGAAGGACUUCUUCAGCUGUUGAGUUGAUGCCUCCGAGGGACCCAGGCCCGUGAGCUCCCACUUAUCCCACUGCAGCACCCACCAGCCCUGCGCCCCAACCUCCCUCUGCCCAGUCCCACAUGUCCCUGCCCUGCCACCAGGGGUCCUCCCAAGACAGCCCCUAAACCACACGCCACAGGCUAAUCUCCACUCAGAGUCUGCUCCCAGACUGCGAGCAGGGACUUUAUAAAUGGGGGAGGCCUUGUGUGCGUGGAGGGGAACCUCAGCCACGAAGAAGGAUGUCAGCACUGUCACUGCCGCUUCUGUAGGUUGGCUUCAUCUGUGAGGUGACCUCAGAGCAAACUGAUUUUAGUAACUUCUCACAAGGGACAGUGAUUAAGAACCUGAGUCAGAAUCCUCUGAGAGAAUGCCCCCCAGGGCAGGUGGGGCCACAGGCUGGGGUGGGGGAUGGGGGGGGGUAGUGUGGGUGGUGGGAGUCUUAGGUAAGCAAAGCUCUGUUUCCUCCUUGUUGGAAUGAGAGCUGACACGCUCCCUCGGCAGACACUGAUGGAACACCGUCAGAGGCACCGGGGAUGCACUGAGGGGGGCAAAGCAAAGUCGCCGCCUUCGUGGAGUUUAUGAUCCACGAGGGGUGAUAAAAAUCCUGGCUCUCAGGGCAGUGUGAGGAUUAACUGAGCUAUUCCAAGUCAAGUGCUCAGCACAGUGCCUGACACAGGUUGAGGAAACUGGCUCCAACAAGCAAAAUGAUCCGCCGAAGGUCACAUGAUGUUUAGAGUAGAACCCAGGCUUCUCACACCUACUGAAUCCAGCUCUUUGGCAGCUUCCCGGGCGUGAUCUGAAAUGGGCCCUGUAUGUGGAGGGCAGGGAGAGGAAGGAAGGAAGAGGAAGAGGCAGGCCCCUCCAGAUGGGCGGUGUUUUCCAAGUUCCUUGUCAGCUGGCUCCCACUAAGAGGCACUGACGGGAAGUUGGAGGACAGAAGGGAGAAACCAGGGUAUCUCUCGUCCUCUCCUCAGCCGCAGGUGGCAUCUCCAAGCAGCAGCUGUGCCUCCUUCCAAGGGACUAGGACUGGUGAGUUAUGACUCCAGAUUUACCAGAUAACCCCUCCCCUCUCUGGUCCUCCUGUAGCACUUCUCCACUGUUGCUAAUUUCUGGCUGCUUCACUGUCCCCAUGUAGCUUCUCAGCCUUUCCAUUCUCCAAGUAACCAAUUCCCUGCAUGCAGGUCCCUGUGUUUUAAACACUCAAGCUGAUUCUGUUGCCUGGUUAGACUGAUUGACAUCCCAGGAUCCGCGCAGUCCCAAAUCCUAGGUAUGCACUUUAGAGCCACUCCCCUGCAGGUGCACAAGGAGAGAUGUCUGAGAAUGUCUGUCUACAGUGUUUGUGAAAAUGGAGAGGUGGAGGGGGCGUGGCCACCCAUUGCCAGAGGGACGGAUAUUGUACAAGGUUCGGGACACAGAAACUGGAAGUAGGGGUCUAGAACGGAGGAGCCUGCAGGAACACGCAGCCACCCAAUGCCAGAAUGAGUCACAGUCCACUCAAGAGGCUUCCCGCAGUGCACUUGGAGCAGGUAUGAGCAGAUGAAGAAAAGAAUGAAGAACUUUCUCACCUCUGGGCCUAUGACAGAGGCACACCAGACGUAUUGGUGGAGAAUGACCAGCAAACAGAAAUAGUGGGGCGAGCAUAAUUACAAGGGAAAGGAGAGGUGAGGAGAAUCUCAGGGGGCACCUAGGCGCAUUCAGUGAGCCCAUGGAGUGCCUGUGAGGGCAGGGCGGGAAACUGUGGAUGGGAUCCAGGCAGAGCAACUAAGCAUCCUUUGGGAGAUGAGUGAAAGGGAGUACAGAGAGCGGGGGACACAACCGAGUCUGGGAGUCCUGAGAGGCUAAAAGGGUGAGGUCAGCAACAUGGAAUUUGGGUGUUGACCCUCAGUGGCUUUCUAGAAGUCCUGGUUUUACAAAUGUGUGAUCACACAGAGAAGAGAGGGAUGGAUGGUCCCUAGGUGUGGAUGUGGGUUCACCACCAACCAGCCCAGCCACACUCACCUGUAAUCGUGGCUACUAAUCUGGAUGCCCUUAACAGUCUGGAACAUGGGGACAUAAUCAUGAGUGAAAUGUUUUGGCCCUGUUCACAGGCCCCUGCGUUAAACUGCUGGUCAGCAGGCUCAGGGAGAUCUGGCUUGCUGUUCAUCUGAAACAGCACAACAACAAGUCCACAGAGCGCAAACCUGGGGCUCUUAGAGGACCACAGUGUGAUGUGGCUGCCAGCAAAAUGCAGGUGACCCCAGACUGCAAGGACAGCAGCCCAGAGGCCUGAACACAGAGGGAUGCUCCUGUUAUUCUGUGUGCUUCUUGGUCCAUAUGGAGGGCUUGUGGUCAGUUCUGGACAUCACUCGAAGAAAACCAUGAGCAGACUAGUGGCCAGGGAAAGUUGAGGAACCUGGGGACAUCCCUCUGAGGAAGAGGUGACUUGGUUGGGGGUGGUACACGGCAUUACUUGUGAGCUGUCUUUGGUGAAGGACACCAUGGAUGAGGGAGAGACUCCAGCAGCAGACUGGGAUCCAGAGUGAAUGCCACAGCAAGGCUGACUUUGGUGGAGCACACAACCGCCAUCGACCAAAUAACGGCAUGGGAGCCUCAGGAAGCACUGAUCUUGCCACUGAUCUGCUGGUAUUAUUACUAUAAUUGUUAUUGCAUGCCUAACAAGAGCUAAGUACUGUGUUAAGUACCUUACAUGCACGUAUGCAUUAUCUUACCAAGGGAGUUAAUGAUAUGAAAAAUGCUCAGAACAGUGCCUGGCACACGUGAGUACUCGAAGUACAUUCGCUGUUGUAACUAUUUAAUCUUCACAAUAAACUUGCUGUGAAAGAGGAA